UAAGCACUCAAUAAAUACUAGCUACUAUUG
RNAcentral lists this non-coding RNA (30 nucleotides) under Mus musculus (house mouse). The record is from RNAcentral. Lineage: Eukaryota; Metazoa; Chordata; Mammalia; Rodentia; Muridae.